Molecule: non-coding RNA, 231 nt
Organism: Vicia faba (fava bean)
Lineage: Eukaryota; Viridiplantae; Streptophyta; Magnoliopsida; Fabales; Fabaceae
Source: the annotation of a GenBank genome assembly
AUGGCUUCUUAUCAAUCUCGAAUUUGGUGGAUUUUGUUGAUUGCUUUUGUUUUACUUUCAGGAUUCACAACUAGUCUUGAUCCUCCAGGAUAUGUGUGCGCCUGGACAUGCACAACUGAGCAAGAGUGCAAUAAGUUCUGCGCUGAUUUUUUUAAGCAUAAAAAACGUGGUUCAUGUAUAGAUCCCGUACCAGAACCCGAACCUCAUAGGCGAUGUUGCUGUCAUGAUUAA